CCUACGGGUGGCAGCAGUGGGGAAUCUUGCACAAUGGGGGAAACCCUGAUGCAGCAACGCCGCGUGGGUGAAGAAGGAUUUCGGUAUGUAAAGCUCUGUCAGCAGGGAAGAAAGUGACGGUGCCUAACUAAGAAGCCUCGGCUAACUACGUGCCAGCAGCCGCGGUAAUACGUAGGGGGCAAGCGUUAUCCGGAUUUACUGGGUGUAAAGGGAGCGUAGACGGUUAAUCAAGUCAGAAGUGAAAACCCAGGGCUCAACCUUGGGAGUGCUUUUGAAACUGAGUAGCUAGAGUGCAGGAGAGGUAAGUGGAAUUCCAAGUGUAGCGGUGAAAUGCGUAGAUAUUAGGAGGAACACCAGUGGCGAAGGCGGCUUACUGGACUGUAACUGACGCUGAGGUUCGAAAGCGUGGGGAGCAAACAGGAUUAGAUACCCUUGUAGUC
RNAcentral lists this ribosomal RNA (440 nucleotides) under uncultured bacterium. Its description in RNAcentral is "partial 16S ribosomal RNA". It matches the Rfam family "Bacterial small subunit ribosomal RNA", at positions 338 to 795 of the family's 1533-position model. The record is from RNAcentral.